UGUGAAGUGUGUUGCACAGAGGAUUUUCCUGAUGAAAUAUCUUCAAAAAAGCUGACCAGAGCUUUCCCACAUUAAGAUAUACAAGGUUUUGUCUGAAUUAUUUUCAUAAAUUGACCUGAAAUGUCAUCACAGUUAGGUGAAUGAGCUUUCUUGUAGGCUCCCUUCAGGUACUGGAAGGCUG
Long non-coding RNA from Lepidothrix coronata (blue-crowned manakin), 181 nucleotides. RefSeq lists it as uncharacterized. The transcript is spliced from 3 exons. NCBI's taxonomy places the organism in Eukaryota, Metazoa, Chordata, Aves, Passeriformes, Pipridae. The record is from RefSeq and is a predicted model, not a curated record.